This 301-nucleotide ribosomal RNA is filed under the name uncultured bacterium. RNAcentral's name for it is "partial 16S ribosomal RNA". It matches the Rfam family "Bacterial small subunit ribosomal RNA", at positions 509 to 807 of the family's 1533-position model. The record is from RNAcentral.
CAGUCGCCGCGGGAACACAGAGGGUGCGAGCGUUAAUCGGAUUUACUGGGCGUAAAGCGUGCGUAGGCGGCUUUUUAAGUCGGAUGUGAAAUCCCUGAGCUUAACUUAGGAAUUGCAUUCGAUACUGGGAAGCUAGAGUAUGGGAGAGGAUGGUAGAAUUCCAGGUGUAGCGGUGAAAUGCGUAGAGAUCUGGAGGAAUACCGAUGGCGAAGGCAGCCAUCUGGCCUAAUACUGACGCUGAGGUACGAAAGCAUGGGGAGCAAACAGGAUUAGAUACCCCGGUAGUCCCUGUCUCUUAUAC